This 255-nucleotide ribosomal RNA is filed under the name uncultured bacterium. RNAcentral's name for it is "partial 16S ribosomal RNA". It matches the Rfam family "Bacterial small subunit ribosomal RNA", at positions 524 to 776 of the family's 1533-position model. The record is from RNAcentral.
UACGGGGGGAGCAAGCGUUGUUCGGAUUUACUGGGCGUAAAGGGCGCGUAGGCGGUCAGCACAAGUCAGUUGUGAAAUCUCCGGGCUUAACUCGGAAAGGUCAACUGAUACUGUGCGACCAGAGUGCGGAAGGGGCAACUGGAAUUCUCGGUGUAGCGGUGAAAUGCGUAGAUAUCGAGAGGAACACCUGCGGCGAAGGCGGGUUGCUGGGCCGACACUGACGCUGAUGCGCGAAAGCCAGGGGAGGCAAACGGG